This 445-nucleotide ribosomal RNA is filed under the name uncultured organism. RNAcentral describes it as "partial 16S ribosomal RNA". It matches the Rfam family "Bacterial small subunit ribosomal RNA", at positions 333 to 796 of the family's 1533-position model. The record is from RNAcentral.
ACACUCCUGCGGGAGGCAGCAGUGGGGAAUAUUGGACAAUGGGCGCAAGCCUGAUCCAGCCAUGCCGCGUGAGUGAUGAAGGCCCUAGGGUUGUAAAGCUCUUUCACCGGUGAAGAUAAUGACGGUAACCGGAGAAGAAGCCCCGGCUAACUUCGUGCCAGCAGCCGCGGUAAUACGAAGGGGGCUAGCGUUGUCCGGAUUUACUGGGCGUAAAGCGCACGUAGGCGGACUAUUAAGUCAGGGGUGAAAUCCCGGGGCUCAACCCCGGAACUGCCUUUGAUACUGGUAGUCUUGAGUUCGAGAGAGGUGAGUGGAAUUCCGAGUGUAGAGGUGAAAUUCGUAGAUAUUCGGAGGAACACCAGUGGCGAAGGCGGCUCACUGGCUCGAUACUGACGCUGAGGUGCGAAAGCGUGGGGAGCAAACAGGAUUAGAAACCCUGUAGUCC